Long non-coding RNA from Solea senegalensis (Senegalese sole), 112 nucleotides. RefSeq lists it as uncharacterized. The transcript is spliced from 5 exons. The record is from RefSeq and is a predicted model, not a curated record. Lineage: Eukaryota; Metazoa; Chordata; Actinopteri; Pleuronectiformes; Soleidae.
CAUUGGAAUUUGGAAUGAAGUGAUGCGACUUAAAGCUGCUCUUAUAUAUUAGCGAGCUGUGAAUGAGUUGAACUCAUGCAACAUGUAAAGCUUGUCUUGAAUAAACCUGGCG